UGGGGUGUGGGGUAAUUGGCAGCCCGACGGGUUCUGGCCCCGUUAGUCUAGGUUCGAGUCCUGGCACCCCAG
Molecule: transfer RNA, 72 nt
Filed under: Actinomycetes bacterium
Lineage: Bacteria; Bacillati; Actinomycetota; Actinomycetes
Also listed under: 2 other names
Description: tRNA-Gln
Rfam family: tRNA
About the family: Transfer RNA (tRNA) molecules are approximately 80 nucleotides in length. Their secondary structure includes four short double-helical elements and three loops (D, anti-codon, and T loops).
Source: RNAcentral